This 314-nucleotide small nuclear RNA is filed under the name Notechis scutatus (mainland tiger snake). Its description in RNAcentral is "7SK RNA (ENSNSUG00000008589.1)". It matches the Rfam family "7SK RNA". Rfam says of the family: 7SK was discovered as an abundant small nuclear RNA in the mid-70s but a possible function has only recently been suggested. Two independent studies have found that 7SK RNA binds the CDK9/cyclin T complex (known as elongation factor P-TEFb). Lineage: Eukaryota; Metazoa; Chordata; Lepidosauria; Squamata; Elapidae. The record is from Rfam by way of RNAcentral.
GGAUAUGAGGGUGAUCUGGCUGCGACAUCUGUCACCCCAUUGAUCGCCAGGGUUGAUUCAGCAGAUCUGGCUGGCUAGGCAGGUGUCCCGUUCCUCCCUCGCUGCUCCAUGUGCGUCCCUCCCAAAGCUGUGCGCUCAGUGGAAGAGGACGACCAUCCCACAUAGAAGGAGUGUACCGAUCUUCAGUCAAGGUGCCUCAGAAAUACGUUGUUUAGCUUUUGAUUCUUAAAGAAAUUAAAAGCAUAAAUGAUAAUAUCAAUUAAAUUCAAAGCUCUACAUACUUAACAAUAUUUCAAAGAAAUAAAAACAAAUAG